Molecule: ribosomal RNA, 368 nt
Filed under: uncultured organism
Description: bacterial SSU rRNA
Rfam family: Bacterial small subunit ribosomal RNA
Source: RNAcentral
CGGAGGGUGCAAGCGUUAUCCGGAUUCACUGGGUUUAAAGGGUGCGUAGGAGGGCAGGUAAGUCAGUGGUGAAAUCUCCAAGCUUAACUUGGAAACUGCCGUUGAUACUAUCUGUCUUGAAUAUUGUGGAGGUGAGCGGAAUAUGUCAUGUAGCGGUGAAAUGCUUAGAUAUGACAUAGAACACCAAUUGCGAAGGCAGCUCGCUACUCAAUUAUUGACUCUGAGGCACGAAAGCGUGGGGAUCAAACAGGAUUAGAUACCCUGGUAGUCCACGCCCUAAACUAUGGAUACUCGACAUACGCGAUAUACAGUGUGUGUCUGAGCGAAAGCAUUAAGUAUCCCACCUGGGAAGUACGACCGCAAGGUUG